Caretta caretta (loggerhead turtle) is the source of this 1018-nucleotide long non-coding RNA. RefSeq lists it as uncharacterized. The record is from RefSeq and is a predicted model, not a curated record. Lineage: Eukaryota; Metazoa; Chordata; Testudines; Cheloniidae.
GCAGCAGGAGUGCCUGGGCAAGAGUUACUACGGAAACCAGGAGUUUAUUCAGUGAGAAGAAUCACUAAUGGCUGGAAGACACGGAGCUGAGCAUCCCUGCAAUCUGGUAUGGGUUAGGCUGGAGAAGCAGUGACCACAGAGAUUUCUAGUAUUCUUGUAAAUGGGAUUUCGAAAUAGGCAGUAAAAGAUGUCAGCAAGAAACAUUUUAUCGGAAAAAGAGGUGUUUACCAGUAACAGAAGCAGGCAAACUGAAACUGAAGAAGCAGCAGGCAGCCAUGCAUGCGGAGAGGAAAGGGAGAGGGGCAGGCAGACAGGUGUCAGUCUGUUGGUGAUGCUCUUGGGUCUGCACUAAUGAUCCUUUUAAACAGAAAAAGUAACAGAAAGGGGGACAGAGGAGAAAGAAAAGUACUUCCAAAGAGGACACCUCACACCCUCUGCUGCUAAACCACCAUGGAGGAAAGACACAGAACAGGACAAACUAGUGCAGUAAGAUCAAAAUGAGGACAGGACUUCAGCCUCCAGUGAUUCUAAGAUCAGGAGUGAAAAUCAAAUACAUCAUCUGAUGGUAUCUGAGAAAUAAAGAUGUUGAUCCUGUACACAUGGAAACUGCUGAUCAGACUGAUGUGAGAUUCAUAUGAGCUGUUGAAAAGAUGUGAUUGCUAAAAUGAGACCAUGGAACCUGAAACCAGAAGUGCACAAGUGGACAGAUCACCAGAACAAUCCACUAACACUCAAGUUUGUCCAUCUGGAGAAAGAAGCACCCCAAAGACACUGACGUAAAUAUUGAGGGAUGCUAACUGAUCAAUAUCUAAGUCCAAUCAUCAGUCUGGUGAAUGUGCCAUGGGGCUAGCCUCAUGGUUGCCAGAUUCCAUACCAAGUACCUGUUUCUGUACCUUAUCCUGUAUUCUAUCCAAGAUGGAUGUAAUAGUGGUAGAUGAAGUGAUAUUGACUAAUGGUGAGGAUAUUGCCCUCAAAUGUUUUAUGGUUCUAUAUAAUUUAUUGUGUCUGUUUAGGAGAU